This 253-nucleotide ribosomal RNA is filed under the name uncultured bacterium. RNAcentral describes it as "partial 16S ribosomal RNA". It matches the Rfam family "Bacterial small subunit ribosomal RNA", at positions 524 to 776 of the family's 1533-position model. The record is from RNAcentral.
GACGUAGGGGGCCAGCGUUGUUCGGAAUUACUGGGCGUAAAGGGCUCGUAGGCGGCCAACUAAGUCAGACGUGAAAUCCCUCGGCUUAACCGGGGAACUGCAUCUGAUACUGGAUGGCUUGAGUUCGGGAGAGGGAUGUGGAAUUCCAGGUGUAGCGGUGAAAUGCGUAGAUAUCUGGAGGAACACCGGUGGCGAAGGCGGCAUCCUGGACCGACACUGACGCUGAGGAGCGAAAGCCAGGGGAGCAAACGGG